RNAcentral lists this unclassified non-coding RNA (178 nucleotides) under uncultured Inocybe. RNAcentral describes it as "sequence contains ITS2". The record is from RNAcentral. Lineage: Eukaryota; Fungi; Basidiomycota; Agaricomycetes; Agaricales; Cortinariaceae.
GAAACUUCUCAAUCCACUUCAUAGGAUGUGGCUUGGAAAUGGGGGAUUUUGCUUGCAGGAUCAUCGUCUGCUCCCCUGAAACGUAUUAGUGGUAGACUUAUCCACAGGGUGUGAUAACUAAUCGAUGCCUUGGGGAAUAAACAUUGUCUAACUGCUUCCAACUUUUAAAUUUUGACCA